GUUCCAGACUCCUACGGGAGGCAGCAGUGGGGAAUAUUGCACAAUGGGCGAAAGCCUGAUGCAGCAACGCCGCGUGAAGGAAGAAGGGUUUCGGCUCGUAAACUUCUAUCAACAGGGACGAAAGAAAUGACGGUACCUGAAUAAGAAGCCCCGGCUAACUACGUGCCAGCAGCCGCGGUAAUACGGAGGAUGCGAGCGUUAUCCGGAUUUAUUGGGUUUAAAGGGUGCGCAGGCGGCACGGCAAGCCGGCGGGCAAAUCGCGGGGCCCAACCCCGCCCAGCCGUCGGAACUGCCGGGCUUGAGUGGGGGAGAAGUGCGCGGAAUUCGUGGUGUAGCGGUGAAAUGCAUAG
This 350-nucleotide ribosomal RNA is filed under the name uncultured bacterium. Its description in RNAcentral is "partial 16S ribosomal RNA". It matches the Rfam family "Bacterial small subunit ribosomal RNA", at positions 328 to 693 of the family's 1533-position model. The record is from RNAcentral.